GGUUAAGCGACUAAGCGUACACGGUGGAUGCCCUGGCAGUCAGAGGCGAUGAAGGGCGUGCUAAUCUGCGAUAAGCGCCGGUAAGGUGAUAUGAACCGUUAUAACCGGCGAUACCCGAAUGGGGAAACCCAGUGUGAUUCGUCACACUAUCAUUAACUGAAUCCAUAGGUUAAUGAGGCGAACCGGGGGAACUGAAACAUCUAAGUACCCCGAGGAAAAGAAAUCAACCGAGAUUCCCCCAGUAGCGGCGAGCGAACGGGGAGGAGCCCAGAGCCUGAAUCAGCAUGUGUGUUAGUGGAAGCGUCUGGAAAGGCGCGCGAUACAGGGUGACAGCCCCGUACACAAAAGCGCAUGUGCUGUGAGCUCGAUGAGUAGGGCGGGACACGUGGUAUCCUGUCUGAAUAUGGGGGGACCAUCCUCCAAGGCUAAAUACUCCUGACUGACCGAUAGUGAACCAGUACCGUGAGGGAAAGGCGAAAAGAACCCCGGCGAGGGGAGUGAAAAAGAACCUGAAACCGUGUACGUACAAGCAGUGGGAGCACCCUUUGGGGUGUGACUGCGUACCUUUUGUAUAAUGGGUCAGCGACUUAUAUUCUGUAGCAAGGUUAACCGUAUAGGGGAGCCGGAGGGAAACCGAG
Molecule: ribosomal RNA, 638 nt
Filed under: Salmonella enterica subsp. enterica serovar Oranienburg
Lineage: Bacteria; Pseudomonadati; Pseudomonadota; Gammaproteobacteria; Enterobacterales; Enterobacteriaceae
Description: partial 23S ribosomal RNA
Rfam family: Bacterial large subunit ribosomal RNA
Source: RNAcentral